RNAcentral lists this ribosomal RNA (253 nucleotides) under uncultured bacterium. Its description in RNAcentral is "partial 16S ribosomal RNA". It matches the Rfam family "Bacterial small subunit ribosomal RNA", at positions 524 to 776 of the family's 1533-position model. The record is from RNAcentral.
UACGUAGGGUGCAAGCGUUAAUCGGAAUUACUGGGCGUAAAGCGUGCGCAGGCGGUUGUGUAAGACAGAUGUGAAAUCCCCGGGCUCAACCUGGGAACUGCAUUUGUGACUGCACAGCUGGAGUGUGGCAGAGGGGGGUGGAAUUCCGCGUGUAGCAGUGAAAUGCGUAGAGAUGCGGAGGAACACCGAUGGCGAAGGCAGCCCCCUGGGCUGACACUGACGCUCAGGCACGAAAGCGUGGGGAGCAAACAGG